This is a long non-coding RNA of Xenia sp. Carnegie-2017, 287 nucleotides long. RefSeq lists it as uncharacterized. NCBI's taxonomy places the organism in Eukaryota, Metazoa, Cnidaria, Anthozoa, Malacalcyonacea, Xeniidae. The record is from RefSeq and is a predicted model, not a curated record. The transcript has 3 exons.
CUUCCAGUGGCAGCAAAGAAAAAAUUCUGAAUUCAAUUACUUCUCGUAGUUUCAAGUCAUCUUCAAAAACUGAUGAACCUUCCACUCCCAACACAGUCGAAUUUAAAGAACGUUUUCUUACAAAGGAUCACAAAAUUAAAGAUAGCGUCCAUGAAAAUUUGAAAAGUUUUCCUUGGCUUUGUGGCAAGUAUGGUACAUCACGUCCUACUGAUGAGAUGAAUUAUCGUCACAUGUAUCUUGAAGUUGACGAAUCAAAGACUGAGGAUGUUUUAAAGCAAGAAAUCGAU